RNAcentral lists this ribosomal RNA (858 nucleotides) under uncultured bacterium. RNAcentral describes it as "bacterial SSU rRNA". It matches the Rfam family "Bacterial small subunit ribosomal RNA", at positions 1 to 829 of the family's 1533-position model. The record is from RNAcentral.
CGGAGAGUUUGAUCCUGGCUCAGGACGAACGCUGGCGGCAUGCCUAAUACAUGCAAGUCGAACGAACCAUCCUGUUGAUUGAAGCUUGCUUCAUGAUUCAGAUUUUGGUGAGUGGCGGACGGGUGAGUAACACGUGGGUAACCUGCCCAAAAGUGGGGGAUAACAUUUGGAAACAAGUGCUAAUACCGCAUAACAACUACUUUCACAUGAUCGUAGCUUGAAAGAUGGCUCUGCUAUCGCUUUUGGAUGGACCCGCGGCGUAUUAGCUAGUUGGUGAGGUAAUGGCUCACCAAGGCAAUGAUACGUAGCCGACCUGAGAGGGUAAUCGGCCACAUUGGGACUGAGACACGGCCCAAACUCCUACGGGAGGCAGCAGUAGGGAAUCUUCCACAAUGGGCGAAAGCCUGAUGGAGCAAUGCCGCGUGAGUGAAGAAGGUUUUCGGAUCGUAAAACUCUGUUGUUGAAGAAGAACAUGCGUGAGAGUAACUGUUCACGUACUGACGGUAUUCAACCAGAAAGGAACGGCUAAAUACGUGCCAGCAGCCGCGGUAAUACGUAUGUUCCAAGCGUUAUCCGGAUUUAUUGGGCGUAAAGCGAGCGCAGACGGUUAUUUAAGUCUGAAGUGAAAGCCCUCAGCUCAACUGAGGAAUUGCUUUGGAAACUGGAUGACUUGAGUGCAGUAGAGGAAAGUGGAACUCCAUGUGUAGCGGUGAAAUGCGUAGAUAUAUGGAAGAACACCAGUGGCGAAGGCGGCUUUCUGGACUGUAACUGACGUUGAGGCUCGAAAGUGUGGGUAGCAAACAGGAUUAGAUACCCUGGUAGUCCACACCGUAAACGAUGAGUGCUAGGUGUUUGAGG